CACCGUUCUAAAUUCCACGAGGACACGCCUACCUCCGCGCGCAGGGUACGCGCUGUUGUGGUUUCCACUUCACAGAAAAAUCUGCCUGGCGACUGAGCAUGCCCAGUUCAACUACUAAUCGCCAAACCACGGGAUCCUAGUUUCAUUGUUUGCCUGGUCUCUCUUUGAAUUUUAUCAGUAGGAGGGAUGUGGGCCUUGCGAAGAGAGGAAAAGGAAUGUCUGGUGACAAUAAUCACUAAAAUUGCUUAGCUAUGAUUUCCUAAAAUCUGUGAUUACAAGUCACUCACCGAUUCAGCAACUGGAUGAUGAAUAGGCUUGAUGAUGAAUAAGAUGUGUAUAUCAUGGGAAUUAGAAAAAGAACGAGCAAGAUGGAUUGCGCCUGCCUGAACAGGGUACAAGGAAAUGGAGGAUUCUCCUGUACUGUCAAUAGCCUCUAGAUCUAGGAAAAUAAACACAGACCUCUGCUGGCAGCCCUGGAGCUGCAGGAAUCCUACACCUAUCCUAGAAUUUUUCAAACAUCAGGGCAAAACCAUGUAUGGUAUCAGAAAUAUAUUAAGGAAAAGAGAAGGAGGAGAACAGAAGGGCAGAAGAUAAAAACAUCAGAAUGCAUUUCACAUGAGAUCCCAGCUAUCACCUUUGUGGGUUUUGAGAAGCAGGUGUGCAGUGGUCUGGAACCAGCAGCAACAGUGACUUCCUGAAUGAGAAAGGAUCUUCAUUCUCAUGGAAUACUGACACUAGUGAUUCCUAAUUUCAGAAGAGACUCCGCUCCUUAAACGACCUGGUUCUGGUGUGUAACUCUGGAAGAGUUCUCUGAAAAUUCAACUUUGAUUCUAUUUCUUUGGUCCUCCUAACUAGCCCAUCAGCUAUUGAACCCUUGCAUAUAUCUCACUUUAAAUUAAAGAGUUCUC
Long non-coding RNA from Talpa occidentalis (Iberian mole), 908 nucleotides. RefSeq lists it as uncharacterized. The transcript has 5 exons. Lineage: Eukaryota; Metazoa; Chordata; Mammalia; Eulipotyphla; Talpidae. The record is from RefSeq and is a predicted model, not a curated record.